Molecule: non-coding RNA, 79 nt
Organism: Glycine soja
Lineage: Eukaryota; Viridiplantae; Streptophyta; Magnoliopsida; Fabales; Fabaceae
Source: Rfam
CGGUUAGGGGGAUGAUGUAUUAUUAUAGGGCCCUUAAGAUGCUUGCAUUCCUUGAUUCAGCAUCUGAGAUGGAUGUAAG